This 66-nucleotide transfer RNA is filed under the name Kusala populi. Its description in RNAcentral is "tRNA-Leu". Lineage: Eukaryota; Metazoa; Arthropoda; Insecta; Hemiptera; Cicadellidae. The record is from RNAcentral.
AUUAAAUUGGCAGAUUUAUGCAUUAAAUUUAGAAUUUAAUUAAGUAAUUUUAAAUUACAUUUAAUA